This 399-nucleotide ribosomal RNA is filed under the name uncultured bacterium. RNAcentral's name for it is "bacterial SSU rRNA". It matches the Rfam family "Bacterial small subunit ribosomal RNA", at positions 30 to 476 of the family's 1533-position model. The record is from RNAcentral.
UGAACGCUGGCGGCGUGCUUAAACAUGCAAGUCGAACGAACCUUCGGGUUAGUGGCGGACGGGUGAGUAACGCGUGAGAAUCUGCCCUCAGGAGGGGGACAACAGCUGGAAACGGCUGCUAAUACCCCAUAUGCCGCGAGGUGAAAUGAAUUUCGCCUGAGGAUGAGCUCGCGUCUGAUUAGCUAGUUGGUGUAGGUAAUGGCUCACCAAGGCAUCGAUCAGUAGCUGGUCUGAGAGGAUGAUCAGCCACACUGGGACUGAGACACGGCCCAGACUCCUACGGGAGGCAGCAGUGGGGAAUUUUCCGCAAUGGGCGAAAGCCUGACGGAGCAACGCCGCGUGAGGGAUGAAGGCCUCUGGGCUGUAAACCUCUUUUAUCAAGGAAGAAGAUCUGACGGU